Hydractinia symbiolongicarpus is the source of this 501-nucleotide long non-coding RNA. RefSeq lists it as uncharacterized. The transcript has 2 exons. NCBI's taxonomy places the organism in Eukaryota, Metazoa, Cnidaria, Hydrozoa, Anthoathecata, Hydractiniidae. The record is from RefSeq and is a predicted model, not a curated record.
UUACAUUCAGACUAUACUGUAUAUUAUGUGGAACGAUUACUGAAGAAACAGGCAUCAUCAAAUGCCCAGGCCUUCUAAAUAUGGGCAGAAAAAAUGAUCUAAAAUAAAAUAACUACUUUACCAGAAAUGCAGUAUGACAUUAUGUUAAGGUGGAAAUAUAGCUAAUUUAAUAAAUUCAAAGCAAAUUUAAUUACUUUGCUUUUUAAUAUAUUUACUUUCUCUUUGCGGUGCCAAGCUUUAGUGCCAAGGGUUAAGUAAAGCUAGCCGUACCUAACAGCCGCACCUUAGCCGUACCUUAGCCGUACUUAAGAAAAUUCGUAAUUAGCAGCUCUGUGUGAAUAUCUAUGCCGAUAAAAAUGAUGCAAAAUGGAGCACUCCAUCGUCGAGCCCCAGUAACCCCCAGGGAAUCCUCAAUGAUGAAAUACCGAUAAUAAUAUAUCUUACAUGUAUUAUAAUUUUUAUAAAAUGAUUUUAAUACAAAUACAAAAGAGAUUUUUAAAA